This 922-nucleotide long non-coding RNA is filed under the name Heterocephalus glaber (naked mole-rat). Its description in RNAcentral is "lncRNA (ENSHGLG00000034384.1)". The record is from RNAcentral. Lineage: Eukaryota; Metazoa; Chordata; Mammalia; Rodentia; Bathyergidae.
AUCUGUCUCUCUCAGCAAUUAGAAGAUCCAAGCCUUGUCCAUUCUGUAAAGCCACUGCUGUUAGGGAGUCUGUCUAGUUCUGUAAAGUGAGAAUGGAAUCGGCUAUUUCUUUGAGGCUGUCAGAAAGAUCUUGAGGGAGAAAGUGAUACUGGGUUAGUGAAGUAGUUAAACCUGCCUUGCCAGUCCCUACAGGAGCAGUGAGGCCUAGACCAACAAGCAAGGCCAUUAAGUGUAUGACUCUAUGCUGUCAGACCUGGCUGUAACGGUGACAGGCAGGCUCUGGUUUCUUGGGGCAGUAUCUGUAUUUGGGCUAAGGUACAGUGUGCAAGUGCUGGUCCAGUUAGUGGGAAGGCACAAGUAGGUGGGAAUCCCACAAAGGAAAAAGACGCGUUGGCUGGGUAAACAGAAUUGGAUGUGGAUUUAAAGUUAAAGAACAACAGAAUUGGUUGUGGAUUGGUUAAAGAGUUCCUGAUCCAAAAAGUGAGGACUGUCUUUAAACCCCUGUGGGAGAACUGUGUAAGUAUAUUACUGCUUUUCUCUUGAAAUGGGAUUUUCCGAUUCAAAGGCAAACAAACUGGGAGUCAGCUAGUCUCCUGUGCUGAGUCCUGAAGGUCACUAGAGGGCGUGUGCUCCCACCUAUCCUGACCUGAUGCAGCCAUAGAGAGAGUGCCAGAGGCCAGAGUCCAUGGAGGACAGUGCCCAACACCUCAUUCUCAGGACUGAUCACCAGAAGGUGCCUGUGUGGGCUGUGCAACGGUGAGUACAAAGCUUCCUGUCUGCAGGCUGAGUGUGGGUUGGAUGGUGGGUCUCUAGAGAACUCAGGAGAGGAAGGGCUUCAUUCAGUGGGUGUUAUUCACAGUGAGCACUGUUUCCACUGGACACCCAAGGCGCAGGUCCCCUGAGAAAAUUUCCAUACUGUGGC